RNAcentral lists this transfer RNA (85 nucleotides) under Pseudomonadales bacterium. RNAcentral's name for it is "tRNA-Leu". It matches the Rfam family "tRNA". From Rfam's summary of the family: Transfer RNA (tRNA) molecules are approximately 80 nucleotides in length. Their secondary structure includes four short double-helical elements and three loops (D, anti-codon, and T loops). The record is from RNAcentral. Lineage: Bacteria; Pseudomonadati; Pseudomonadota; Gammaproteobacteria; Pseudomonadales. RNAcentral also lists the same sequence under 2 other names.
GCCCAAGUGGUGGAAUUGGUAGACACGCUAUCUUGAGGGGGUAGUGGCGAAGGCCGUGCCGGUUCAAGUCCGGCCUUGGGCACCA